This 254-nucleotide ribosomal RNA is filed under the name uncultured bacterium. Its description in RNAcentral is "partial 16S ribosomal RNA". It matches the Rfam family "Bacterial small subunit ribosomal RNA", at positions 524 to 776 of the family's 1533-position model. The record is from RNAcentral.
UACGUAGGGUCCGAGCGUUGUCCGGAUUUAUUGGGCGUAAAGAGCUCGUAGGCGGCUCGGUAAGUCGGAUGUGAAAACUCGGGGCUCAACCCCGAGACGCCAUCCGAUACUGCUGUGGCUUGAGUCUGGUAGGGGAGAACGGAAUUCCUGGUGUAGCGGUGAAAUGCGCAGAUAUCAGGAGGAACACCGGUGGCGAAGGCGGUUCUCUGGGCCAGUACUGACGCUGAGGAGCGAAAGCGUGGGGAGCAAACAGG